RNAcentral lists this ribosomal RNA (253 nucleotides) under uncultured bacterium. RNAcentral's name for it is "partial 16S ribosomal RNA". It matches the Rfam family "Bacterial small subunit ribosomal RNA", at positions 524 to 776 of the family's 1533-position model. The record is from RNAcentral.
UACGUAGGGCGCAAGCGUUGUCCGGAAUUAUUGGGCGUAAAGAGCUCGUAGGCGGUUUGUCGCGUCUGUCGUGAAAGCUUGGGGCUUAACCCCAAGUCUGCGGUGGAUACGGGCAGACUAGAGGCAGGUAGGGGAGAACGGAAUUCCCGGUGUAGCGGUGAAAUGCGCAGAUAUCGAGAGGAACACCUGCGGCGAAGGCGGGUUGCUGGGCUGACACUGACGCUGAGGCGCGAAAGCUAGGGGAGCGAACGGG